CACAUGCAAGUCGUGCGAGAAAGUAUCUUCGGAUACGAGUAGAGCGGCGGACGGGUGAGUAACGCGUAGGAAUCUACCUAGUAGAAGGGGAUAGCCCGGGGAAACUCGGAUUAAUACCGUAUACCUCCUUUGGGAGAAAGAGGGCCUCUCUUUGAAGCUUUCGCUACUAGAUGAGCCUGCGUAAGAUUAGCUUGUUGGUGAGGUAACUGCUCACCAAGGCUACGAUCUUUAGCUGGUCUGAGAGGACGAUCAGCCACAUUGGGACUGAGACACGGCCCAGACUCCUACGGGAGGCAGCAGUGGGGAAUAUUGGACAAUGGGCGCAAGCCUGAUCCAGCCAUACCGCGUGUGUGAAGAAGGCCUUCGGGUUGUAAAGCACUUUAAGCAGGGAGAAAAAGUUGUAAGUUAAUACCUUACAACCGUGAUGUUACCUGCAGAAUAAGCACCGGCUAAUUCCG
RNAcentral lists this ribosomal RNA (458 nucleotides) under uncultured Pseudomonadota bacterium. RNAcentral describes it as "bacterial SSU rRNA". It matches the Rfam family "Bacterial small subunit ribosomal RNA", at positions 52 to 505 of the family's 1533-position model. The record is from RNAcentral. Lineage: Bacteria; Pseudomonadati; Pseudomonadota.